Long non-coding RNA from Zalophus californianus (California sea lion), 659 nucleotides. RefSeq lists it as uncharacterized. Lineage: Eukaryota; Metazoa; Chordata; Mammalia; Carnivora; Otariidae. The record is from RefSeq and is a predicted model, not a curated record. The transcript has 4 exons.
AGAAGAAACUGAAACAUGUUUCAAAUGAACAUAAGAAAUAUAUGGCUCGGGAGAUGGUGUUAGCAUUGGAAAGAACAAAGAAUGAAUCUGGUCAAUCUCCAUAACCUUCUGGAAGACACAGUAGCACAUUCAUGCAAAUGUUUUAUCAACUUGAAAGAAGACAGUUGUGUCAUAAACCUAAUGUUGUAGAAGGCUGUGCAAAGAGAUCAAAGGACAGUGAGAACUUGAUGCUAUAUAGGAGAGAGUGAAUCUAACUGACCCAAAAUGAAUCCCUCCUUCUGGACCAUUCAGGGAUCUUGUCAAAUCUUAAGUUUCAAUGGAAGAUUUCCUUCUACAUUUACUGAAUUUGAGGAGAUCAUGCAUUCUUUCCUAGAAAGAACAGAGCUCUUCUGCAUGUCACCAGGCUCUCUUGCACAGCCUCCACCCAGGGUACCACGGAACCAGAACUUCUUGCAUAACGUCCGAGCACCUAGAUAACUGUGUAGCUGGCAUCAUGGAGUCUGCACAGAAUCAAGAAAUGUCACAGAUUACUGCACUCCCUUAACUGAUCAAACUCCUUGAAAAAUCUCUGGGCCAGGCAGAAACCUCUGAGUUGGCCUUCUGACAAGAGUCUGCCUUCUUCCCAGGUGGCCGGCCUCCUGAAUAAAGCUCAAUUAUUU